RNAcentral lists this ribosomal RNA (492 nucleotides) under uncultured bacterium. RNAcentral's name for it is "bacterial SSU rRNA". It matches the Rfam family "Bacterial small subunit ribosomal RNA", at positions 46 to 524 of the family's 1533-position model. The record is from RNAcentral.
GCCUAACACAUGCAAGUCGAGCGACGAACCAGGGCUUGCCCUGGGGCAAAGCCGCGAACGGGUGAGUAACACGUGGGUAACCUGCCUCGAUGAUCGGGACAACCCGGGGAAACCCGGGCUAAUACCGAAUGUGCCCUCCCCACAUCAGUGGGGUGUGUAAAGGAAGCUUCGGCCUCCGCUUCGAGAUGGGCCCGCGGCCCAUUAGCUUGUUGGUGGGGUAACGGCCUACCAAGGCAUCGAUGGGUAGCUGGUCUGAGAGGACGAUCAGCCACACUGGGACUGAGACACGGCCCAGACUCCUACGGGAGGCAGCAGUGGGGAAUCUUGCGCAAUGCGCGAAAGCGUGACGCAGCAACGCCGCGUGAGGGAAGACGGCCUUAGGGUUGUAAACCUCUUUCAGUUGGGACGAAGGCCGGCACGUGAACAGCGUGUCCGGUUGACGGUACCUUCACAAGAAGCCCCGGCUAACUACGUGCCAGCAGCCGCGGUAAU